RNAcentral lists this ribosomal RNA (253 nucleotides) under uncultured bacterium. RNAcentral's name for it is "partial 16S ribosomal RNA". It matches the Rfam family "Bacterial small subunit ribosomal RNA", at positions 524 to 776 of the family's 1533-position model. The record is from RNAcentral.
UACGUAGGGUGCAAGCGUUGUCCGGAAUUAUUGGGCGUAAAGAGCUCGUAGGCGGUUUGUCGCGUCUGCUGUGAAAACCCGAGGCUCAACCUCGGGCCUGCAGUGGGUACGGGCAGACUAGAGUGCGGUAGGGGAGAUUGGAAUUCCUGGUGUAGCGGUGAAAUGCGCAGAUAUCAGGAGGAACACCGAUGGCGAAGGCAGGUCUCUGGGCCACUACUGACGCUGAGAAGCGAAAGCAUGGGGAGCGAAUGGG